GCCUUGUUGGCUCAGGUGGUGGAGUAUGUGACUUUUGAUCUUAGAGUUGUGGGUUUGAGUCCUACAUUAGGUG
This 73-nucleotide transfer RNA is filed under the name Canis lupus familiaris (dog). It matches the Rfam family "tRNA". From Rfam's summary of the family: Transfer RNA (tRNA) molecules are approximately 80 nucleotides in length. Lineage: Eukaryota; Metazoa; Chordata; Mammalia; Carnivora; Canidae. The record is from Rfam by way of RNAcentral. RNAcentral also lists the same sequence under 1 other name.